CUAUGCGCCUUGCCAGCCCGCUCAGGUGUGCCAGCCGCCGCGGUAAUACGUAGGGGCAAGCGUUAUCCGGAUUUACUGGGUGUAAAGGGGCGCAGACGGCCAUGGCAAGCCCGGUGUGAAAGGCAGGGGCAUAACCCCUGGACUGCACUGGGAACUGUCAGGCUGGAGUGCCGGAGGGGUAAGCGGAAUUCCUGGUGUAGCGGUGAAAUGCGUAGAUAUCAGGAGGAACACCGGUGGCGAAGGCGGCCUGCUGGACUGCAACUGACGUUGAGGCCCGAAAGCGUGGGGAGCAAACAGG
RNAcentral lists this ribosomal RNA (298 nucleotides) under uncultured bacterium. Its description in RNAcentral is "partial 16S ribosomal RNA". It matches the Rfam family "Bacterial small subunit ribosomal RNA", at positions 475 to 776 of the family's 1533-position model. The record is from RNAcentral.